This 465-nucleotide ribosomal RNA is filed under the name Vreelandella stevensii. Its description in RNAcentral is "partial 16S ribosomal RNA". It matches the Rfam family "Bacterial small subunit ribosomal RNA", at positions 338 to 795 of the family's 1533-position model. Lineage: Bacteria; Pseudomonadati; Pseudomonadota; Gammaproteobacteria; Oceanospirillales; Halomonadaceae. The record is from RNAcentral.
CCUACGGGCGGCAGUAGUGGGGAAUAUUGGACAAUGGGGGCAACCCUGAUCCAGCCAUGCCGCGUGUGUGAAGAAGGCCCUCGGGUUGUAAAGCACUUUCAGUGAGGAAGAACGCCUGGUGGUUAAUACCCAUCAGGAAAGACAUCACUCACAGAAGAAGCACCGGCUAACUCCGUGCCAGCAGCCGCGGUAAUACGGAGGGUGCGAGCGUUAAUCGGAAUUACUGGGCGUAAAGCGCGCGUAGGUGGCUUGAUAAGCCGGUUGUGAAAGCCCCGGGCUCAACCUGGGAACGGCAUCCGGAACUGUCAAGCUAGAGUGCAGGAGAGGAAGGUAGAAUUCCCGGUGUAGCGGUGAAAUGCGUAGAGAUCGGGAGGAAUACCAGUGGCGAAGGCGGCCUUCUGGACUGACACUGACACUGAGGUGCGAAAGCGUGGGUAGCAAACAGGAUUAGAUACCCCAGUAGUC